AACGUUCCGGCCCGCGGCACGUCCCGACCUCUCCGGGGGGGAGGACCGUGCCCGCGUCUACCUCUCACCACAUGUGAAACUUCUACAUUUGCUUCGGCAGCACCGAGCGGGAGACCGUAAGGGUAAGGCUGUCGGAAGCUCAUAACAAAACCAGUUGAUGAAAUGUCAUGCUGUCUGAUACAUACUCUUUAUUUGAGAAAUCAAGUAAUAUCAUUA
This 216-nucleotide unclassified non-coding RNA is filed under the name uncultured Orbiliales. RNAcentral's name for it is "sequence contains ITS1". Lineage: Eukaryota; Fungi; Ascomycota; Orbiliomycetes; Orbiliales. The record is from RNAcentral.